This 492-nucleotide ribosomal RNA is filed under the name uncultured bacterium. RNAcentral's name for it is "partial 16S ribosomal RNA". It matches the Rfam family "Bacterial small subunit ribosomal RNA", at positions 29 to 507 of the family's 1533-position model. The record is from RNAcentral.
AGUGAACGCUGGCGGUAGGCCUAACACAUGCAAGUCGAACGGCAGCACAGUAAGAGCUUGCUCUUACGGGUGGCGAGUGGCGGGCGGGUGAGGAAUACAUCGGAAUCUACUUUUUCGUGGGGGAUAACGUAGGGAAACUUACGCUAAUACCGCAUACGACCUACGGGUGAAAGCAGGGGAUCUUCGGACCUUGCGCGAUUGAAUGAGCCGAUGUUGGAUUAGCUAGUUGGCGGGGUAAAGGCCCACCAAGGCGACGAUCCGUAGCUGGUCUGAGAGGAUGAUCAGCCACACUGGAACUGAGACACGGUCCAGACUCCUACGGGAGGCAGCAGUGGGGAAUAUUGGACAAUGGGCGCAAGCCUGAUCCAGCCAGACCGCGUGUGUGAAGAAGGCCUUCGGGUUGUAAAGCCCUUUUGUUGGGAAAGAAAAGCAGCAGGUUAAUACCCUGCUGUUCUGACGGUACCCAAAGAAUAAGCACCGGCUAACUUCGUG